This 483-nucleotide ribosomal RNA is filed under the name uncultured bacterium. Its description in RNAcentral is "partial 16S ribosomal RNA". It matches the Rfam family "Bacterial small subunit ribosomal RNA", at positions 30 to 506 of the family's 1533-position model. The record is from RNAcentral.
AUUGAACGCUGGCGGCAGGCCUAACACAUGCAAGUCGAGCGGAUGAAGGGAGCUUGCUCCUGGAUUCAGCGGCGGACGGGUGAGUAAUGCCUAGGAAUCUGCCUGGUAGUGGGGGAUAACGUCCGGAAACGGGCGCUAAUACCGCAUACGCCCUGAGGGAGAAAGUGGGGGAUCUUCGGACCUCACGCUAUCAGAUGAGCCUAGGUCGGAUUAGCUAGUUGGUGGGGUAAAGGCCUACCAAGGCGACGAUCCGUAACUGGUCUGAGAGGAUGAUCAGUCACACUGGAACUGAGACACGGUCCAGACUCCUACGGGAGGCAGCAGUGGGGAAUAUUGGACAAUGGGCGAAAGCCUGAUCCAGCCAUGCCGCGUGUGUGAAGAAGGUCUUCGGAUUGUAAAGCACUUUAAGUUGGGAGGAAGGGCAGUAAGUUAAUACCUUGCUGUUUUGACGUUACCAACAGAAUAAGCACCGGCUAACUUCGU